CAGGCCGGCCGGGCGGCCGCGUUGCGUCGUACCGACGGCGCACCGAGGAAGGUCCGGACUCCACAGGGCACGGUGGUGGGUAGCGCCCACCCGGGGAGACCCGCGGGACAGUGCAACAGAGAGCAGACCGCCAGCGGCUCCGACUCGUCGGAGUGCGGGUAAGGGUGAAACGGUGGUGUAAGAGACCACCAGCACCCCAGGUGACUGGGGUGGCUCGGUAAACCCCACCGGGAGCAAGGCCAAGAGGACCCACUGCGUGAGCAGCCGGUCUGCGCGAGCGUUCGAGGGCUGCCCGCCCGAGCUCGCGGGUAGGCCGCUGGAGCCUGCCGGCGACGGCAGGCCUAGAUGGAUGGCCGCCACCGGCGCGCAUCACGCGUGCCGGCACAGAAUCCGGCGUACCGGUCGACUCGUCCG
This 414-nucleotide RNase P RNA is filed under the name Actinomycetota bacterium. Its description in RNAcentral is "RNase P RNA component class A". It matches the Rfam family "Bacterial RNase P class A". Rfam says of the family: Ribonuclease P (RNase P) is a ubiquitous endoribonuclease, found in archaea, bacteria and eukarya as well as chloroplasts and mitochondria. Its best characterised activity is the generation of mature 5'-ends of tRNAs by cleaving the 5'-leader elements of precursor-tRNAs. The record is from RNAcentral. Lineage: Bacteria; Bacillati; Actinomycetota.